This 465-nucleotide ribosomal RNA is filed under the name uncultured bacterium. RNAcentral describes it as "partial 16S ribosomal RNA". It matches the Rfam family "Bacterial small subunit ribosomal RNA", at positions 28 to 506 of the family's 1533-position model. The record is from RNAcentral.
GACGAACGCUGGCGGCGUGCUUAACACAUGCAAGUCGAACGGAAAGGCCCUGCUUGCCGGGUACUCGAGUGGCGAACGGGUGAGUAACACGUGGGUGAUCUGCCCUGCACUUCGGGAUAGGCUUGGUAAACUGGGUCUAAUACCGGAUAGGAGCCAUCUUUAGUGUGGUGGUUGGAAAGUUUUUUCGGUGUAGGAUGAGCUCGCGGCCUAUCAGCUUGUUGGUGGGGUAAUGGCCUACCAAGGCGGCGGCGGGUAGCCGGCCUGGGGGGGUGUACGGCCACCUUGGGACCGAGAGACGGCCCAGGCACCGACGGGAGGGAGCAGGGGGGAAUAUUGCACAAUGGGCGCCAGCCUGAUGAAGCGACGCCGCGUGGGGGAUGAAGGCCUUCGGGUUGGAAACCCCUUUCGCUAGGGACGAAGCUUUUUUGUGACGGUACCUAGAUAAGAAGCACCGGCUAACUACGU